GUAGGAGCGAGGCUUGCCCGCGAUGCAGGCACUGCGGUCUGUCUUAAACCGCAGUGAAGCCAUCGCGGGCAAGCUCCGCUCCUAC
This 85-nucleotide unclassified non-coding RNA is filed under the name Pseudomonas chlororaphis. The record is from RNAcentral. Lineage: Bacteria; Pseudomonadati; Pseudomonadota; Gammaproteobacteria; Pseudomonadales; Pseudomonadaceae.